Molecule: long non-coding RNA, 112 nt
Organism: Etheostoma cragini (Arkansas darter)
Lineage: Eukaryota; Metazoa; Chordata; Actinopteri; Perciformes; Percidae
Exons: 3
Source: RefSeq, a predicted model, not a curated record
UGUUGGUCAAUGGCGCAAUCACUGUCCGCAUCCUCAAGACAGCAAUACGCCAAGAAUGCACCUGAACACAACUCCCUAUAAGACCAGCACGCACAGAAUGUACCUAAACACA